GAUCAUGGCUCAGGAUGAACGCUGGCGGCGUGCCUAACACAUGCAAGUCGAGCGAAGCACUUUGCUUAGAUUCUUCGGAUGAAGAGGAUUGUGACUGAGCGGCGGACGGGUGAGUAACGCGUGGGUAACCUGCCUCAUACAGGGGGAUAACAGUUAGAAAUGACUGCUAAUACCGGCAUAAGACCACAGCACCGCAUGGUGCGGGGGUAAAAACUCCGGUGGUUAUGAGAUGGACCCG
Molecule: ribosomal RNA, 238 nt
Filed under: uncultured bacterium
Lineage: Bacteria
Description: partial 16S ribosomal RNA
Rfam family: Bacterial small subunit ribosomal RNA
Source: RNAcentral